RNAcentral lists this unclassified non-coding RNA (1385 nucleotides) under Bombus terrestris (buff-tailed bumblebee). RNAcentral's name for it is "misc RNA ENSBTSG00005032276.1". The record is from RNAcentral. Lineage: Eukaryota; Metazoa; Arthropoda; Insecta; Hymenoptera; Apidae.
GAAAGAGAACAUUUGAAUUCGCCAUUGUUCGACGGUUGCGCGUAGCGGUGACAUUGUUUUUGCCCGGAGUUUAUUUGUUUUUACAUAACGUAUAAUUUAACGGUUUGACAAACCGAGGCAAAAUCACAACCUGAUUCAAAAUGUCCGUUGACUCGUGUGUCGCUACAUUGGAGAGCAGAAGAAGAUCCAUGGAAACGGCAUGCAAUAUCGUCUCCCAGCUGUUGUUAUUUAUUAACAGUACGGGGCAGGGAAUAUGUUAAUAAUGUAACAGGCCAGGAGUUAUAUGAAGUUUCUGCUGAAGCAUCAACACAAAUUACUGAUAAGAAUCCUGAGAGAUCCAAUAGUGAAAAUGAUACUAAUGAAACGACUCUCCUUCAGGAACUUGCUGCUGCAAAGGAAAAAAGUCGAACAUUGAAAAAUGCUCGUUUGUGUAAAGCUUGCGCGGAACGAGAAGUCACAGUUGUAUUCCUACCUUGUGGACAUGCAGCAACCUGCGAUUACUGUUCACAAGCUUUCUCACAAUGCAUAAUUUGCCAAGGAGAAAUUAAAGCCACUAGCUGUAUCUUUUUGACGUAAUGCAUGCACAUAUGUAUAUAUAAUUAUGUACAUAUAUAAAUUAGCUUAUCCAUAUUUCUCAUAUAAAUAUACUUUACAAUUUUUAAAAAUUGACGUACACACAUUAAAAUUUGUGAUACCAUGUAUCGUUAAAUUAAGUGUAUAUAUCAUGAAAUGAUAAAAUAUUUUAUUUCUAGUACUAUUUCUACAGUAAUUAAUAAAUAGAAACAUAAUAUUAAACUGAUGAAAUACAUUUUUUCUUUAUAUUUUUGGCUUUUUUUGUAUUUUAAGUGUAUUUUACUUAAUUAAACAUUAAUAAUAAUUAUGUAUCUUAUUUUAUCCGAAUAAAGUUAACUUUUUCCGCAUCUAACUAAUUGUUUUUUGUUUUACUCCCCUUAUUGUCAUUAAAAUGACGCUGUUUUAUAUAUAUAAAUAUAUAUAUAAUACAGUUUCAUUUCAUUUAUUAUUAUAUAUAUAUAUAUAUAUUAUAUAGUUUCAUUUUAUAUAUAUAUAUCUUUACCAGUAUACGCAUAUUUAUGUUUCUAAAUUCUGUAUGAUUAAGUUAAAAUUGCAUAUAAUCGUUCUAUAAUUCAUUAAACAGGAUCAAAACAAUAUUGUGGAGACAAUGGCAAAAAUAAAUCAGUUGGAUCAAUUGGAGAAUAGUGAAUUGAGUGAUUGGCUAAAAGAGCGUUCAAUUCCAUAUAAUUCUAAAGCAAAAAAGUGUACUUAUUAAUAAAUUAUUAUCGCACAUCAAGAAUACAACAAUUUUAUAGCCAUUUCGUAUGUAAAUAUAUCAUAUGUGUUCUUAAGUGUACUAAGUUAGUAUAAAA